RNAcentral lists this ribosomal RNA (253 nucleotides) under uncultured bacterium. RNAcentral describes it as "partial 16S ribosomal RNA". It matches the Rfam family "Bacterial small subunit ribosomal RNA", at positions 524 to 776 of the family's 1533-position model. The record is from RNAcentral.
UACGAAGGGGGCUAGCGUUGCUCGGAAUCACUGGGCGUAAAGCGCACGUAGGCGGAUUGUUAAGUCAGGGGUGAAAUCCUGGAGCUCAACUCCAGAACUGCCUUUGAUACUGGCGAUCUUGAGUCCGGGAGAGGUGAGUGGAACUGCGAGUGUAGAGGUGAAAUUCGUAGAUAUUCGCAAGAACACCGGUGGCGAAGGCGGGUCUCUGGGCCGAUACUGACGCUGAGGAGCGAAAGCGUGGGGAGCGAACAGG